GAAGUCAAUUAUUACUUAAUUUACACAUGCAAGUCUCCGCCCCCCUGUGAAAACGCCCUUAAACCCCUUAUGGGGCAAGGAGCUGGUAUCAGGCACAACAACUCUGCCCAAGACACCUAGCUUUGCCACACCCACAAGGGAACCCAGCAGUGAUUAACAUUGAAUAUUAGCGAAAGCUUGAUUCAGUUAAAGUAUAUAGAGCCGGCUAAUCUGGUGCCAGCCGCCGCGGUUACACCAUGUGGCCCAAAUUGACUCCCUAUCGGCGUAAAGCGUGAUUAAAGCUACCCACAAUUAGGGUCAAAUUAAAACUAAGCUGUGACACGCUUGUAAUCAAGAAGCUCAAACACGAAAGUUACCCUAAUUAAAUCAACUUGA
RNAcentral lists this ribosomal RNA (375 nucleotides) under Dendrophryniscus brevipollicatus. RNAcentral describes it as "partial 12S ribosomal RNA". The record is from RNAcentral. Lineage: Eukaryota; Metazoa; Chordata; Amphibia; Anura; Bufonidae.